Molecule: ribosomal RNA, 391 nt
Filed under: uncultured bacterium
Lineage: Bacteria
Description: bacterial SSU rRNA
Rfam family: Bacterial small subunit ribosomal RNA
Source: RNAcentral
AAUCAACGCUGGCGGCGUGCCUAACACAUGCAAGUCGAACGCGAAAGGGGAGCAAUCCCUGAUUAGAGUGGCAAACGGGUGAGUAACACGUGGGUGACCUGCCUUCGAGUGGGGAUAACCUUCGAAAGGAGGCUAAUACCGCAUGACAUACCGUGUUUGGAUACACGGAUAUCAAAGCCGGGGAUCGCAAGACCUGGCGCUUGGGAGAGGGGGCCCNCGGUCCGAUUAGCAGUUGGUGAGGUAACGGCUCACCAAGGCUCCGAUCGGUAUCCGGCCUGAGAGGGCGGACGGACACACUGGAACUGGAGACACGGUCCAGACUCCUACGGGAGGCAGCAGUGGGAAUUGUUCGCAAUGGGCGAAAGCCUGACGACGCAACGCCGCGUGGAGG